GACGAACGCUGGCGGCGUGCUUAACACAUGCAAGUCGGGGGGCGGGGUAACUCGUCACCGGCGAACGGGUGCGGAACACGUGAGCGACCUGCCCUGGAGUGGGGGAUAGCCGGCCCAACGGCCGGGUAAUACCGCAUGCGGCCGUGGCUUGGAGGCCACUGGCGAAAGCCCUGCAAGGGGCGCUCGAGGAGGGGCUCGCGGCCUAUCAGCUAGUUGGGGGGGUGACGGCCUCCCAAGGCGAUGACGGGUAGCUGGUCUGAGAGGAUGGCCAGCCACAUUGGGACUGAGAGACGGCCCAGACUCCUACGGGAGGCAGCAGUGGGGAAUAUUGCGCAAUGGGCGAAAGCCUGACGCAGCGACGCCGCGUGGAGGAUGAGGCCCUUCGGGGUGUAAACUCCUGUUGCCCGGGACGAAUGCCCAGGAUGGCCUGGGUUGACGGUACCGGGUGAGGAAGCACCGGCUAACUCUGUGCCAGCCGCCGCCGUAACAC
This 490-nucleotide ribosomal RNA is filed under the name uncultured bacterium. RNAcentral describes it as "bacterial SSU rRNA". It matches the Rfam family "Bacterial small subunit ribosomal RNA", at positions 28 to 526 of the family's 1533-position model. The record is from RNAcentral.